CGCAGCCGCGGGAAUACGUAGGGUGCAAGCGUUAAUCGGAAUUACUGGGCGUAAAGCGUGCGCAGGCGGUUAUAUAAGACAGAUGUGAAAUCCCCGGGCUCAACCUGGGAACUGCAUUUGUGACUGUAUAGCUAGAGUACGGCAGAGGGGGAUGGAAUUCCGCGUGUAGCAGUGAAAUGCGUAGAUAUGCGGAGGAACACCGAUGGCGAAGGCAAUCCCCUGGGCCUGUACUGACGCUCAUGCACGAAAGCGUGGGGAGCAAACAGGAUUAGAUACCCCCGUAGUCCCUGUCUCUUAUACC
Molecule: ribosomal RNA, 301 nt
Filed under: uncultured bacterium
Lineage: Bacteria
Description: partial 16S ribosomal RNA
Rfam family: Bacterial small subunit ribosomal RNA
Source: RNAcentral